This 253-nucleotide ribosomal RNA is filed under the name uncultured bacterium. Its description in RNAcentral is "partial 16S ribosomal RNA". It matches the Rfam family "Bacterial small subunit ribosomal RNA", at positions 524 to 776 of the family's 1533-position model. The record is from RNAcentral.
UACGUAGGGGGCAAGCGUUAUCCGGAUUUAUUGGGCGUAAAGCGCGCGUAGGCGGGCUGUUAAGCGAGAUGUGAAAUCUGGGGGCUCAACCCGCAGCUUGCAUCUCGAACUGGCAGCCUUGAGUCUGGUAGAGGAGUGUGGAAUUCCCAGUGUAGCGGUGAAAUGCGCAGAUAUUGGGAGGAACACCAGUGGCGAAGGCGGCACUCUGGGCCACGACUGACGCUGAGGCGCGAAAGCUAGGGGAGCGAACAGG